AGAGCGAACGCUGGCGGCAGGCUUAACACAUGCAAGUCGAGCGGGCGUAGCAAUACGUCAGCGGCAGACGGGUGAGUAACGCGUGGGAACGUACCUUUUGGUUCGGAACAACACAGGGAAACUUGUGCUAAUACCGGAUAAGCCCUUACGGGGAAAGAUUUAUCGCCGAAAGAUCGGCCCGCGUCUGAUUAGCUAGUUGGUGAGGUAACGGCUCACCAAGGCGACGAUCAGUAGCUGGUCUGAGAGGAUGAUCAGCCACAUUGGGACUGAGACACGGCCCAAACUCCUACGGGAGGCAGCAGUGGGGAAUAUUGGACAAUGGGCGCAAGCCUGAUCCAGCCAUGCCGCGUGAGUGAUGAAGGCCCUAGGGUUGUAAAGCUCUUUGUGCGGGAAGAUAAUGACGGUACCUGACAGAAAAGCCCGGACUAACUUCGUGCCAGCAGCCGC
This 447-nucleotide ribosomal RNA is filed under the name uncultured bacterium. Its description in RNAcentral is "SSU rRNA". It matches the Rfam family "Bacterial small subunit ribosomal RNA", at positions 26 to 518 of the family's 1533-position model. The record is from RNAcentral.